This 1487-nucleotide long non-coding RNA is filed under the name Malus domestica (apple). RNAcentral describes it as "long non-coding RNA (MDOM_LNC015578)". Lineage: Eukaryota; Viridiplantae; Streptophyta; Magnoliopsida; Rosales; Rosaceae. The record is from RNAcentral.
GUUCAAUUUACCUAAAUUUGAAACUAAUCACACCCAUCUCUACCACCAUUAGACUUCCCUUGAGGUAUGGAACAAUGCCCAAUCAAUUGUAGGGGCGACAAAUCAUCGAGGAGGAAGAAUCGAAGCACACCCACACUUAGGGUUCCGACGGAUUUUAGCUAAAUUGGGGCUUUUCCCGAUCAAUUUGGCCUUGAUCACAAGUAUGAAAGACCCAUUGAGACCUUCAUUUUUGUAAUUUUUAGAAUUUUUAGAAAUAUUGAAUUUUCCGGCGAGUUGGGGAGGCCGACUACCACCCGAGGUAGCGCGUGGCCAGGGGACCGUCAAUGUUAUUCUUAGGCUAAAUUAGAUACCUUGAGUUCAGUUUUGGUAAUUGUAUAAAGUAGGUUGAUCCUUUGGACCUAAAUUCAUUAAGAUAUGUUACUUGGUAAAAAUAUGAAUCGACGAUUCGACCGUUGGAUUGUCACCAAACUUUAAUACGUUAUAAUACAUAAUAUUUAAAGAUCAUAGGAACUUACGGAUCGGGAAUCCGAUAUACGGAUCUUCCUGAAUUGGAUUUGUAAGUUCAUAAAAUAAAAGGUUAACAGCCACUUAGUUUUGGCAAUUGGCGGAGAUACGAUCGUUGGAUCGUAAUGGAACUUUAGGAUGUUGUUUUAGAAUUAUAAUGUGUAUCUUUGGAAGUAACGGACCGAAAAUCCGCGAUGCAGAUCUUUCGAAUUGAAUUACGUAGGGAUGUGUUUCAUGUAAAUUAUAUAUUCUAUCGGUAAGAACUCUGAGAUGUGAUUUGAUAAUUGUUCUAGGCGACGAUGGUUCAUGAUGUCUCGAUAUGCAUGCUAGGAAGUCGUAGCGCGGACCUUAGGUGAGCAGGUCUUUCCUUUCUAUUGUAUAUAUAUUAUGUAUAUGAUUGAUAAUUCCAUAAACGUUUAUAAAUUGAUUAUUGCUUAUAAUUAUUGUGAAUGCUUUGAAGUACUAGUGCGAACUACGAAUGACUUGAUCCCUAUUUAGGGUACGUAGGCAGUCUAAGGAAACGUUAGAUGCAGCCAUAACAUAAAUGAGAUUAAAUAAUUGAGACAAUAGCCUUGUUUGGGAAAUUGUGCAAGGUGAGGGACAUUGGUAGAAAAUGUGAGAUUUAACCUUAUGAUUUAGUGAUUGGAUGUUGGUCAUAAAUCAUUGUGUGAAGGAUCGAGAAUUCGAAGUAAAGAAUUGUAAAUAUUGAUAGUUAGUUAAACUAGUGUUUAGUUGAGCUUGUCACCAAUAAUUAUUCCAAAAAAUUUAUAGUUCAGGAGUAGAGCAUUAUAGAUUGUGCAUUUUAUGCCACAUUAUUGAUAUAUAUAUAUAUAUAUAUAUAUAUAUAUAUAUUUGGCAGCACUACGAUAUGGUUAAGUUUUGAAUAGCAUCAAGGCAUGUCCAUAAGUAUAUUAUUACGCAUAAUUAUUAUGAACGCUUUAAGGUACGAAGGUGAACAUGGGAUGCAUAGAUAAGUUCAGGUG